GAUGAACGCUAGCUACAGGCUUAACACAUGCAAGUCGAGGGGCAGCAUUAUCGAAGCUUGCUUUGAUAGAUGGCGACCGGCGCACGGGUGAGUAACGCGUAUCCAACCUUCCCAUCACUCAGGGAUAGCCCGCCGAAAGGCGAAUUAAUACCUGAUGGUCUCCUUCGCGGACAUCUAACGAGGAGUAAAGAUUCAUCGGUAAGGGAUGGGGAUGCGUCUGAUUAGCCAGUUGGCGGGGUAACGGCCCACCAAGGCGACGAUCAGUAGGGGUUCUGAGAGGAAGGUCCCCCACAUUGGUACUGAGACACGGACCAAACUCC
Molecule: ribosomal RNA, 320 nt
Filed under: uncultured Prevotella sp.
Lineage: Bacteria; Pseudomonadati; Bacteroidota; Bacteroidia; Bacteroidales; Prevotellaceae
Description: bacterial SSU rRNA
Rfam family: Bacterial small subunit ribosomal RNA
Source: RNAcentral